RNAcentral lists this ribosomal RNA (401 nucleotides) under uncultured bacterium. RNAcentral describes it as "bacterial SSU rRNA". It matches the Rfam family "Bacterial small subunit ribosomal RNA", at positions 372 to 761 of the family's 1533-position model. The record is from RNAcentral.
GGGGCGCAGCCUGAUGCCAGCCAUGCCGCGUGAGUGAUGAAGGCCUUCGGGUUGUAAAGCUCUUUUAUCAGGGACGAAAUCCACGUGGACUAAUACCANUGGAGGAAUGACCGUACCUGUACAAUAAGCACCGGCUAACUACGUGCCAGCAGCCGCGGUAAUACGAAUGGUGCAAGCGUUAAUCGGAAUUACUGGGCGUAAAGCGUGCGUAGGCGGUUCUUUAAGUCUGUUGUGAAAGCCCCGGGCUCAACCUGGGAACUGCANUGGAGACUGGNAAACUAGAGUGUGUGANAGGGUGGUGGAAUUCCCGGUGUAGCAGUGAAAUGCGUANAGAUCAGGAGGAACAUCAGGUGGCGAACGCAGUGCUUCUGGACCAACACUGACACUGAUGCACGAAUGCG